AGCGUUAGCAGAGAUGUGAGCGAAAUAAGAAAGUGAAGCGCCAUGUCAAUAUGGAGAUGGUGAAGGAGAAAAGAGAGAGCAGGAGGAGAAAGAGAACUAAAAAAGAGAAAAAAAAAACCUGUGACAACAAUGAGGGAGAGAAACCAGGAGUAAAUGAGAGGAGAAAAAAAAAAAAUAUUUUGAUCAAUUUACUAAUUCGAAUCGAAUUUACAAAGUCCAAAAUAAAAUGAUCUAUUUUAGCAAAAAUG
This 248-nucleotide long non-coding RNA is filed under the name Ananas comosus (pineapple). RNAcentral's name for it is "long non-coding RNA (ACOM_LNC039628)". Lineage: Eukaryota; Viridiplantae; Streptophyta; Magnoliopsida; Poales; Bromeliaceae. The record is from RNAcentral.